This 379-nucleotide ribosomal RNA is filed under the name uncultured eukaryote. RNAcentral describes it as "partial 18S ribosomal RNA". It matches the Rfam family "Eukaryotic small subunit ribosomal RNA", at positions 592 to 976 of the family's 1831-position model. The record is from RNAcentral.
CAAUAGCGUAUAUUUAAGUUGUUGCAGUUAAAAAGCUCGUAGUUGGAUUUCGGAUGGGAUUUGCCGGUCCGUCGUUACGAUGUGCACUGGCCAGUCCUAUCUUGUUGUCGGGGACUAGCUCCUUGGAUUCACUUCCUGGGACUAGGAGCUGACGAGGUUACUUUGAGUAAAUUAGAGUGUUCAAAGCAAGCCUACGCUCUGAAUACAUUAGCAUGGAAUAACACGAUAGGACUCUGGCUUAUCUUGUUGGUCUGUGAGACCAGAGUAAUGAUUAAGAGGGACAGUCGGGGACAUUCGUAUUUCAUUGUCAGAGGUGAAAUUCUUGGAUUUAUGAAAGACGAACUUCUGCGAAAGCGUUUGUCAAGGAUGUUUUCAUUAA